Molecule: microRNA precursor, 213 nt
Filed under: Prunus dulcis (almond)
Lineage: Eukaryota; Viridiplantae; Streptophyta; Magnoliopsida; Rosales; Rosaceae
Description: sRNA ncRNA
Source: RNAcentral
AAAGAGAGUCUGAGAGAGAGAGAGAGAGAGAGAGAGAGAGAGACGUGGACAAAUGAGGAUUGCAGAAAAUUCAAUCGAACGUUGCUGCUAUACAAUGGUGUGGUGUUUGGGACCCUCCACCACUUGUACUGCACAUGACCCAUUCCUAGCCUACCACUCAGUUUGAACCCUCUCUCUCUCUCUCUCUCUCUCUCUCUCUCUCAUCUUUUGUCC